This 2441-nucleotide long non-coding RNA is filed under the name Salmo salar (Atlantic salmon). RNAcentral's name for it is "lncRNA (ENSSSAG00000093484.1, ENSSSAG00075022515.1)". The record is from RNAcentral. Lineage: Eukaryota; Metazoa; Chordata; Actinopteri; Salmoniformes; Salmonidae.
GGAAAAGCCAAGGGGUCUGAAUACUUUCCGAAGGCAUUGUAUUUACAUAUGUUGUGGUCUUGUGAAGGCUGGCUAAAUUCUGGAGAAGACUACGUUCUUUUAUCUCAGCAUGUCUACAGAUUCUCCCUUCUCCCUGUUUUUGUUUGCUUGGAAAUGUAAAUACUGGAGACAGUUAUCAGAAGAAACUGUGUAACCUAGCAUUUAUAGUGGCUUAUAAAUGCAUUGCCAUUAUUUGGAAGGUAGGUUAUCCUCCCACAAUGUAUGGAAGAAAUGUCAGGUUACGUACAGUAUCACUAGAUUUGUUUUAAGAUUAAGGGUAUACUGCAACUUUCACAAGGUCCGGAUGCCUUAUAUGGAAUACUGUAUGACAAAAGGAGUCUGUAUUGAUAACAUGGCCACGUCAGUGGAGAUACCUAUUUAGGCAAUCCCAAGCUGCUGGUCUGCUAAGUCCUGGUCCCUGGGUGUCUACUGUUGGUUGUCACUUUGGCCUUGGCCUAACACACCUGAAACCAAUAAUACAUGUUUCACUAAGAUCCGAAAGCUGAGUUGGGUGUGUUGGGUUGGGGCGCUACAGGGCCAUGGACCCUUAGGCCUAUGGUAUGAAUUAUAUGGAGAUUGUACUGUUUCUGUCAAUGUGUAGGUGUAUGUGUGUUUUUAUUCAACUUUUGUAUUCCAAACCUUUCCCUUGAGACAUAACAAAGGAGGGAAGGAAGUUGUGUUGGGGAGAGAGGAGUUAUUGACUAGACUGGUGUUGGUUGGACGUGUAGGGGCCUCAGGUUGGCUGAGAGGUCUGCCUGAAAUUUGAUUUAGAGGAUGUCUUAAAGACAAUCAAAAGUUGUCUAUGUACUUUAUUUGUAAUAGUUGUUUGUUUGUUAUGGCUGUUGGUUAAAGGUGCAACAUAAUAUUGAUUAUUGAAUUAUCAUGGAUCUAGUUCAGUCUUAUCAAUCCCUUAAACAUAAUUCAUAAUCUCUUACCUAGCUCUUACCUAAAUGUGGGCAUUUUUGCUUGCUUUUUGUUGUUCUAAAUAGAGAUGACUACAAGAGCCAUGGGUCAUAUUAGAUUAUGUAGAAAUGCAGGAAAUUUGCUUUAGAUGCCCCAAAAAAUGGGAGGACCUCAGACCCCAUGCCAAGUUAUGUCACCCUGUGCAAAUAACACGGCUGGGUGAUUUAAAAAGUGAUAGUCAAUAGAUCAAUAAUAUAAUAAUACUUUUAGCAAAGAAGUUUAUUUUUAAUUUACAAUAUGUAGAAUCUAUAAAAAUAGAAAGGUUCAGAACUUUCUGGAAACAUCACAGCACAGUUGAAAAAUAUAUGGCAAAUAGAAAUCAAAACUUGAUAGCGUUCAGAGAUAGAUGGGAGGGGUUGAGUGGAGCUGAAGGUUGGGGCUAAAAAUAAACAAAAGAUAACUAUUGUAAAAUAUGCUGUGUCUGCGAAAUGUACACUACCGGUCAAAAGUUUUAGAAGACCUACUCAUUCAAGGGUUUUUCUUUAUUUUUGACUAUUUUCUACAUUAUAGAAUAAUAGUGAAGACAUCACAACUAUGAAAUAACACAUAUGGAAUAAUGUAGUAAUCAAAAAAGUGUUAAACAAAUCAAAAUAUAUUUUAUAUUUCAGAUUCUUCAAAUAGCCACCCUUUGCUUUGAUGACAGCUUUGCACACUCUUGGCAAUCUCUCAACCAACUUUUGGUUACUACAUGAUUCCAUGUGUUAUUCCAUGACUACAUGUGUUAUUUCAUAGUUUUGAUGUCUUCAGUAGUAUUCUACAAUGCAGAACAUAGUCAAGAAAAACCCUUGAAUGAGUAGGUGUUCUAUAACUUGACUGGUACUGUACAUCGAUGGAAGCAACAAUCUAUCUGCAACAUAAAAAAAUGAAAAAGUUAUGUCCCCGCCCACUUCUAAAACCAAAGUUGCACCCCUGGGAUAUGGUAUUUGUAAAAUAUAUUAUUUGUUAUAUGUAUCAUAUGUUAUAUGUAGAAUGUGUUAUAUGUAGAAUCUUUUAUAUGUAGAAUGUUGUACAUGUAGAAUAUGUUAUGUGUUAUAAGUAGAAUAUGUUAUAUAUAGAAUAUGUUUUACGUAAAAUACGUUUUAUGUAAAAUAUGUGUAACGGUGUCGUAUAAAGGGGACCAUGGCGCAGCGUGUUGCGUGCUCAUAAUUAUAUUUUAAUGAAAACGAAAACUUAUACAAAAGAAACAAAACGACAGUCAACAGUUCUGUCAGGUUACGUGAACGAAACAGAAAACAACUACCCACAAAACACAAUAGAAAAAAACCCAACUUAAAUAUGAUCUCCAAUGAAAGACAACGCGAACCAGCUGCCUCUAAUUGGAGAUCAUCUCAAAACUCCAACAUAGAAAUAGAAAAACAAGAACUAAACAUAGAAACAAAAAACUUGUUAUAUGUAGAAUGUCAUAUGUUUAAUAUCGUAUAUAUAGAAUAUGAUAUACG